UUUCUUCCGUUUUCUUCUGCUCCCCCCACCCACCCACAAAAAAACCCUUUGCUUUUCUCAGUUCAUCUGAAGUGUCUUCUUUUCUCUCUCCGGCUCUCCCCUCUUUCUCUUCAAACAAAAUCGACGAAUUCGAAAAUACAGGAAGAUCCAUCAAAUUGUUGUCCAAAUCAAGGUUUUUGUCAAAGUGUUAAUUCGUCAAAGCUUUUUUUUAUAAUAUAUAACCACAUUUUCAUGGCUGAUCCAUGUUUAAGCUAAGUUUAUUUCUCACUUUAUUUUUCUUUGAUGUAGUUAAUUUCUGUCUCCCUUUCCUUGACUUUGUUGAUUACUUUUCGAUUUUAACACUACAAGAAAUUGUACUAUUAACGACGGGAAAUCCCGUCGCGAAAGGCCAAUAAUCAUUGAUUAACGACGGGAUUUCCUGUCGCGAACCCGUCAUAAAAGGGGGUCGUCGUUAAUAGAAAUCCCGUCGUAAAUCCGUCGUAAACCCGUCGUAAAAGACAUUUGCGACGGUUAUUCCCGUCAUUGUUUGGUUGUUAGCCCCGUCGCAAAAGGCUUUUGCGACGGGAUUUUUGACCCUUCGUAAUUAGGUUGUCGUUAAAGAUACAAAUUCUUGUAGUGUAAUUAUGAAUUAGUUGUUUUGUGAAUUUCAAUUGCAGGAGAGUAUCUGUUUGAAGUUUUUCUAGGGUUUCUGUAGGUGUUCCAUUAAUGGCUGCUCCACCUACGAGAGCUCGCGCUGAUUAUAAUUAUCUCAUCAAGCUCCUUAGGCGAUAGUGGUAUGGGUAAGAGUUGCCUCCUCCUGCGGUUUUUUAAUGGUUCCUUCACAACGAGUUUUAUCACAACCAAUGGAUAUGGGAUACUGCUGGUCAGGAAUGGUUCAGGACUCUCAAAACAGGAGGAAGUUUGUUGAUGAAUACAAUGACGAGGAAGUAGAAUUGACAAAAGACGAGAUCAAGAUGAUACGUCGUAUAAUGAAAGGGGAAAUACCACAUGCCUAAACGGAUCCCUAUGCGAUUGCCAUUUUUCAAGUUGUGACAAAGAGCAAAUUGCUGAAGUAAGAACUCAGAGGGUGCGCCACGUUGUUCAACAAUUGUAUAAUAUACAACUCUACUAACUAAUGUAUUUUGCGUUGUUUAAUGUUUGUAAUCUUAUUUUAGAACAUAUCUAUGUAAUCGGUUUAUUAAGGUUACAAUUGCAAAAUUCUUUUCAUUGAGGUUUGUAAAUUAAUACAACUUUUUACUAUACUCUUCAAUAUAUAUUGUUACUUUGAAAUAUGUAAUUAUUGUGUGGUAUAAAAUGAAAUAUAUUGCAGCUAGUAAAAUUAAAAAGAAAAAAAAAAACUAAAAAAAAAAUAUACUUUAAUAGUGCUUUAUAUGCAUCCGCUAUUAUAAAAUAAUUAAAA
Molecule: long non-coding RNA, 1399 nt
Organism: Spinacia oleracea (spinach)
Lineage: Eukaryota; Viridiplantae; Streptophyta; Magnoliopsida; Caryophyllales; Amaranthaceae
Exons: 5
Source: RefSeq, a predicted model, not a curated record